RNAcentral lists this ribosomal RNA (233 nucleotides) under Vibrio parahaemolyticus. RNAcentral describes it as "partial 23S ribosomal RNA". It matches the Rfam family "Bacterial large subunit ribosomal RNA", at positions 586 to 821 of the family's 2925-position model. The record is from RNAcentral. Lineage: Bacteria; Pseudomonadati; Pseudomonadota; Gammaproteobacteria; Vibrionales; Vibrionaceae.
UUGUCCUGUGACUGCGUACCUUUUGUAUAAUGGGUCAGCGACUUAUAUUCAGUGGCAAGGUUAACCAUCUAGGGGAGCCGUAGGGAAACCGAGUCUUAACUGGGCGUUCAGUCUCUGGAUAUAGACCCGAAACCAGGUGAUCUAGCCAUGGGCAGGUUGAAGGUUGAGUAACAUCAACUGGAGGACCGAACCGACUAAUGUUGAAAAAUUAGCGGAUGACUUGUGGCUAGGGG